RNAcentral lists this non-coding RNA (45 nucleotides) under Schistosoma margrebowiei. The record is from RNAcentral. Lineage: Eukaryota; Metazoa; Platyhelminthes; Trematoda; Strigeidida; Schistosomatidae.
AUCCCACUGACUAGUCCCAAAUGAGACGAAACGCGCGUCCUGGAU